Molecule: long non-coding RNA, 546 nt
Filed under: Daucus carota (carrot)
Lineage: Eukaryota; Viridiplantae; Streptophyta; Magnoliopsida; Apiales; Apiaceae
Description: long non-coding RNA (DCAR_LNC004686)
Source: RNAcentral
GCCGUUGUAGAUAUAUAUUUUGUGACUGAAGGUCAAAGAAUGUCCAACUCUAUUUUAUUAUUUAUACGCAAUGUAGUACAAUUUGAAUAUUGAAAGUUGAGGAAACUAAUGACAAACAGGCCGAGGAUUGGCUGAUCUUUUAAGCUCUGAAGUUGCUUCGCGUCUUGUUAAGAUCCUCGAAGAAAUUGACCUUUUUGACAUUCAGGUUUGCUGAGUGUUAAUGCUGUGUACAUUAAAAAUUUGUUACAAUCUUUUCUAUAUCAAGGACACAACAGUUUUGCACUUGUGUCAGUCUAUGGCUGCUGGAAUUCUCUCGCGUUUAAGUUUUGACAAGUGCGGCAAAGUUAUAAAAGAGGCAAUUCCAGUCCUUUUGAAAUAUAUAUGCAGUGACGCGCCUCAAGUAGCAACUCCGGUAAUCUGUAGGAGUUUCCGAGUCAGUUUUCUUAUCACUGUGAAUGCAAUGUAACUAGAUUUGUUAUCUAAAUAUGUAGGCUGCGUCAACAUUGGCACGUUUAGCUUAUAAAUCCUCCAAAGCGAUAGAAGUUU